UGUGAAGCAGAAUUCACCAAG
Molecule: non-coding RNA, 21 nt
Filed under: Arabidopsis thaliana (thale cress)
Lineage: Eukaryota; Viridiplantae; Streptophyta; Magnoliopsida; Brassicales; Brassicaceae
Also listed under: 1 other name
Source: RNAcentral